GUGUCCUACGGGACGCAGCAGUAGGGAAUCUUCCACAAUGGGCGAAAGCCUGAUGGAGCAACGCCGCGUGGGUGAAGAAGGUCUUCGGAUCGUAAAACCCUGUUGUUAGAGAAGAAAGUGCGUGAGAGUAACUGUUCACGUUUCGACGGUAUCUAACCAGAAAGCCACGGCUAACUACGUGCCAGCAGCCGCGGGAAUACGUAGGUGGCAAGCGUUAUCCGGUUUUAUUGGGCGUAAAGAGAACGCAGGCGGUCUUUUAAGUCUGAUGUGAAAGCCUUCGGCUUAAACGGAGGAGUGCAUUGGGA
RNAcentral lists this ribosomal RNA (305 nucleotides) under uncultured bacterium. RNAcentral's name for it is "bacterial SSU rRNA". It matches the Rfam family "Bacterial small subunit ribosomal RNA", at positions 334 to 631 of the family's 1533-position model. The record is from RNAcentral.